AUUUAUUUAGUAUAAAUAGUACAUUUGACUUCCAAUCAAAAAGCUUGGUUUAAAUCAAAAUAAAUA
This 66-nucleotide transfer RNA is filed under the name Kuwayamaea brachyptera. RNAcentral's name for it is "tRNA-Gly". It matches the Rfam family "tRNA". Rfam says of the family: Transfer RNA (tRNA) molecules are approximately 80 nucleotides in length. Their secondary structure includes four short double-helical elements and three loops (D, anti-codon, and T loops). Further hydrogen bonds mediate the characteristic L-shaped molecular structure. tRNAs have two regions of fundamental functional importance: the anti-codon, which is responsible for specific mRNA codon recognition, and the 3' end, to which the tRNAs corresponding amino acid is attached (by aminoacyl-tRNA synthetases). tRNAs cope with the degeneracy of the genetic code in two manners: having more than one tRNA (with a specific anti-codon) for a particular amino acid; and 'wobble' base-pairing, i.e. permitting non-standard base-pairing at the 3rd anti-codon position. The record is from RNAcentral. Lineage: Eukaryota; Metazoa; Arthropoda; Insecta; Orthoptera; Tettigoniidae.